CCUACGGGUGGCAGCAGUGAGGAAUAUUGGUCAAUGGUCGGGAGACUGAACCAGCCAAGCCGCGUGAGGGAUGAAGGUACAGAGUAUCGUAAACAUCUUUUGUCAGGGAACAAAGGCGGGGACGUGUCCCCGGAUGAGUGUACCUGAAGAAAAAGCAUCGGCUAACUCCGUGCCAGCAGCCGCGGUAAUACGGAGGAUGCGAGCGUUAUCCGGAUUUGUUGGGUUUAAAGGGUGCGUAGGUGGAAGGGUAAGUCAGGGGUAAAAUGUCGGUGCUAAACACCGUCCGGCCGUUGAGACUGGUCGUCUUGAGUGAGCGAGAGGUAUGCGGAAUGCGUGGUGUAGCGGUGAAAUGCAUAGAUAUCACGCAGAACUCCGAUGGCGAAGGCAGCAUACCGGCGCUCAACUGACGCUGAGGCACGAAAGCGUGGGGAUCGAACAGGAUUAGAUACCCCAGUAGUC
RNAcentral lists this ribosomal RNA (459 nucleotides) under uncultured bacterium. RNAcentral describes it as "partial 16S ribosomal RNA". It matches the Rfam family "Bacterial small subunit ribosomal RNA", at positions 338 to 795 of the family's 1533-position model. The record is from RNAcentral.